AGGCGCAGGGCGCGUGUCCCGGCCUGCACCGCGCCGCCCGCCUCCCGGCGUGCCCCGCGCGGGCCCGGUGCGGCCUGCGGGGCCGGGCCGCCACCGGCACCAGGCCGCGGGCGGCAGCCCCGCUGCCUCCUUCGGCCUCCUCCGGUCCGCCACCUUCCCCCCCGCCAUCGGGCCUUGUAGCUCCUUGUAAGUGACCCUUCCCAGACGCCUGUGCUCGUCACACACCCACACACACACCCGCCCACACCCCCGUCACUGGCACUGCCGUUCUUCGUCAGUUAGUGAUGUCUGUGGCAAAAAAAAGCUUCCAGUAUCAGUGAAGAGACUCAUACUACCAGAGGUGCUUGGAAUUAAAAGAAAAAGGCGGGUGCAACAGUAAGCUGAGCUGACCUGAAGACUGAGUUGCUGCUUCUCCAGAAGGAUGAUGGACUUUGCAGCUGAAGUUAUUAACAAGCUAACAGAGGAGAUUUAUAACGUACAGGCUAAGGUGACAGCCUGCACGAGGAGAGCACAUCAUCUCAUUCGGCCGGCUCCUGGCUCUUCAGCUUUCAGAGACUAGAUUGUGGCAGUUUGAUUGCUCUGGCCCUUCUCAGAACAGAUCCGGACAACGACUGUUUUAAGGUGGGUGUGAAUUCUAUUGGGACAAGUGGAACUGCUGACUUCUCCAGCUCAUGAUAUUUCCAGAUGACAACUAGAUACAACUAGAAAGUGAUAUUUCAUAGAAAUGCCCUCCUGAUAAGAAAAAAAAGCCAGAAAAGAGGCAAGUGGUGCGUGUGCACCGGACGCUGCUACACAGUGGGUUGCCCACAACCGGCAGAUGAGCAGCCAGGGCCAGGGGUGAGAGCGUUGGACAGAGAUGUGGAGACCAGGCUGCUCCCCAGCUGCAACGUGCAGGCGACGUGGUUUCUCCAGGGCUGUAGCACAAGUUUUAAAGAACAUCCUCGUGCCAACAGCAUAAACACCCAACAGCUGCUCCUCGCAAGCCUCAAACCACCUCCUGCUCCAGGCACCUCCCGCCAGGAAAUGAAUGUAAAAAGACCCACCUCUGAACCACGUAUGCUUGUAAAGGAAGCAAAAACCUUAAAUUCUCAUGUUGUAAAUUACAUCUAAUCUUUGGAGAAGAUCAAAAAAAAACCCCACCACAUUAGUCAAAGGAUUUGACUGAAAGUUUCAGAACCACAGACGGAAACUGAAGAGCCGUCCCGUCCCGUCCCUGCCGCAGAAGUGCCCCAGAGGCGCCCCUGAGGACGCAGCAGUGCCACCAGCUGCGCAGCAGGAGCCCUCUCUCCCUGGGAAGGCUGCUGCAGCCUGCAAGCGAUUCCUGCCCGUGGGCUGUGACAACGAACAGCCCAGAUAAGCAAGAGUGGCGUAAACCCAGAGCAGAGUCCACGAGGCCGGGCAGCCUGAAGGGAAGGAUGGACCUGGCUUCAGACCCAACCGCUCUGCUUCUUGGUGUCCUCAGGCCCCGCCGUCUGUGUUGGGCUGGGCUGUACAGGCAGCCCAGCAUCUGCUCUUCACAAGUGUGGGGUGUAACAGGGUAGACAUUGGACCUCAUUGUACUUCUAGCACAUAUGCAAAGUUUUAAAAACUCUCCCUAAGCAUUCACAGAGUCAAUCCAAAUAAUUUAAGUAUUCUGGUUUGUUGCUGUCCCUAGUAACAGGGUCAAAUGAUUCAGCGAAAACCUUUCUUAGUAUAAUCCUCCAGAGGUAGAUGAAUACACAGUUGGUGGAGUUUGGAUGUGUUCCCAAGCUGCUGCAUCAGUUGGGUCCAAAAACUCACAAUAAAUGAAUUUAAUCAGGAAACUUCACUCUCAUAUGAAUGUUUAAUGGCACUGAUUUAUACUUUCAGCUGCCAAAGUCAUGAGGUAGCUUAGCAAUUGAGAGCCCACAGAGCUCAAGGUUUCAGAACAACUCUCCUUGGAGAUUAAAGUGUUGCAAGAGAUGUUACUAGAUGGACAGAAGGAAAGCUCUGCCUCCUACUAAAGCGGUUAACCCUGCACAGGACUAAAGUAUUAAAAUGUAUCUGAUAGUGUUGCUUUUAAAAGCUGUGUUCUGACAAGUAUACUCCUUUAGAUCACUGGCUGUUGUAUUUUCAAUAAGUUUCUCUAACAAUUCAUUUUUGUUGUCUUGUUCUUUUAUCUCACCUGCUAAAAACUGAGAGCUAGGAGCACUUGCAGGAGUGCAGGGCCAGCGGCGGGUCUCUCAACUGUGCUGUAAAGCCACAGGUGGGUAUUGUGGCUCUCCGCCAUGGCACAAGUUCUGUGGUUAAGAGGUAUUGUUUUUAAAGCAAGUUUGAUCGCAGAAUAGCAAUUCCUUCUUAAAACUGGGGCCAUCUACAAGAACACUCUGUAAACCUGUGUGGUUUGUAGGAUUACUCACAGUGUGAAAGACAAGCAAGAGGUGGCUGGAGAAAGAAUCUGUGGUCUACUGCACUUAAACGCCUACAAAGCUGCAGCCCAGACCAUUAACUUAGACUGCAACAAAUGUUUGUCUCAGCUGUGCGUUUCAUCCCUGCUUCCUCUCAGAGGCAGUCUGUCACCUUUUUGUUGUUGUUAUCUUUGUGUCUGAAUGCCCUGCUUUUUGAAGCGCCACGUCUGUGACCAGUCUAACAUCUGAAAUCUGAUAGACCUGUAACACGCACAGCAAAACCGGUAUGGGUUGCAAGCUGUCCUACCCAAAGCUCUGCUGGUGUUCUUCAGCUUUGGUUUGCAAGGAAGGAACACACACAAAUGUACACAACGUGUGCAAAAUACGUCCAGGUUGCAAAGGGAAGGACUUAGGAAAUGUCAGAUUAAGUUUGCCCUGGAGUGGCUUUUACUGAGCUCCUUAAGCAUAUAUACAUUGUAUGACUUGCUUAUACUAUUUUUAUACAGGCCUCCUGCGGAGCGCAGCACACGGCCUGGACCGGCUGGAUGACGAAGGGCAUUCAUGUUGUUAAAACUCUUUCAUUUAUUGCAGCAGCUGUGAGCAGUGGGUUAAGGCGGUUAGCAGGAGGAUGGAUGAUUGAAAAGCAGCUGAAAAGUUCCUUGAAAAGUGAAGCACAUCCCUCCGUUAGCUACAACUGCCUGAUGGUACCAGAAAGGGCUUGGCUUGGCUUGGCUUUUCCUUUCCAGGCGUCCGCCCCAGCAGGCGUGGGGCAGGGGAAGCAGACACGCCAGAGCCCUUUGUCGUGGGCACCCACAGAGCCUGUGACCAAGCACAGCUCAGAGAAAGUUCUGCUAAAACGGCGCAGUGGACAGAACUUGGAAAAAGAUCUGCUGCGAGAAAAACUGUUGGUGAUGAGAGCUUUUCUUUAUGGCAGCCGCAGCAGGUGGAGGACAGAUUUCCCACUGGCUAGCCGACUCCACAGAGGAUGUGCAUUUUAAAAAAAUUAUUUUAUUUUAUUGAUUUGAGGGUAUUCGGGGACACCCAUCCGCCGGAGGUGGGGA
Non-coding RNA from Phalacrocorax carbo (great cormorant), 3427 nucleotides. The record is from RefSeq and is a predicted model, not a curated record. NCBI's taxonomy places the organism in Eukaryota, Metazoa, Chordata, Aves, Suliformes, Phalacrocoracidae.